Molecule: long non-coding RNA, 1243 nt
Organism: Gymnogyps californianus (California condor)
Lineage: Eukaryota; Metazoa; Chordata; Aves; Accipitriformes; Cathartidae
Exons: 2
Source: RefSeq, a predicted model, not a curated record
GAACGCCAGAUCGCGCCCUCGCCCUCCUCCCCAGCCCGCGCCGCGGGUCCUCCGCCGCGGAAACGCGGCCAGGAAGCGCAUGCACAAUGAUGGGGGGGCUGCUGGUGUGGUUUUUUUCCUGGCUGGGCUUUCUAAGUUCAAAUGUCUCGUUUUCAGGAUUUUGUGAGCCCGCGGAUCGCCCCGCUUUGCCUCCGUGACGACUGCGCGGCGUCCUGCCACCGAGGCUGUCGGUGGGAUUCCCGUGCGCUCCGGCUGCUGAGGCAAAUGGGGGGGAUCCCGCCUUAAUAUCCGAUUUCGUGUUUCUCUUUCAGUGAUCCCGGUGACAGAAUGACACAGUUUCUGUAAGCCCGUGACUGCAUCAGAAGCUCUUCCACUUUUGAUUUGUUUAAAUCAGCCAUGUUUGCCGAGUGUUUAAGGCUGGGCUGGGAAAGAUAGUGCUGUGCCUUGCUCAAGGGUGUAGGAGAGGCCAGGCAGGCAAAUUACUCAAAACAACUUCGGCUCAUGCAAAUAAGCCGAGAAUUCAUUUCACUGGGAGGAAAACAAAAAACCCCGAAGCCUGCCUUCUCCCGACCGCGAUCCCCAAAGUUGCCUGCUCCCCGCCUGCCCCCGCGGCCACGCCGGUGCCCGUGCUCGCCAGGAGGGGCUCUGCACAGCCCGCUUUUACUCUCGCUGCAGUCGGUGGCUGUUUUUGCGAACACCGACAUCGCUGCCCACGUCCAAAGACUAACAAACUCUCACUGCGGGGACGCCGUUCGGCAGGGACCCGGCGGGCUGCUUCGCGGGCGGCAAGCGGCGUCGCGUCACUGGCGCACACCCGGGCUCACGGGUGCCCGCGGAGGCAGCGCGCAACGGGGGGAAGGCUCGCACGCUCGGUGAAUGCGGAGCCUCUCCCAGCUGGGCUGUGUUGGAUGGAUUUCUUUCUUUCAGUACCUCUUCCUGACUCCUUUGUUGCUAGAAACGCCGAAAACCCCGUCCAUUACAGGUUUCCCUCUGUGCUUUAAAGGGACUUGGGGUUUCUAUGGCGUGGUGCCACGGCUCCCUAACACACACACGCCCAGCAGCGAUGCAGCACCGAGCAGGAAAGAUACCUUGUAUUCGGUUAAUAAUGUCUCAAAAUUCACACGACAAAAAGCUGUUGCUUUAAAUAAUUCGUUUCAUAUUGCCAAUGUGUCUCAUUUUCAUUUUUAGUUGUCUAAAACGUUUUAUACGUGUCUGGUUAUAAUCUAUAAAGCUGGCAAACGAA